AGAUUGAACGCUGGCGGCAGGCCUAACACAUGCAAGUCGAGCGGUAGAGAGGUGCUUGCAUCUCUUGAGAGCGGCGGACGGGUGAGUAAUGCCUAGGAAUCUGCCUAGUGGUGGGGGAUAACGUUCGGAAACGGACGCUAAUACCGCAUACGUCCUACGGGAGAAAGCGGGGGACCUUCGGGCCUCGCGCCAUUAGAUGAGCCUAGGUCGGAUUAGCUAGUUGGUGAGGUAAUGGCUCACCAAGGCGACGAUCCGUAACUGGUCUGAGAGGAUGAUCAGUCACACUGGAACUGAGACCACGGUCCAGACCUUCCCGUACGGGGAGCAGCA
Molecule: ribosomal RNA, 330 nt
Filed under: uncultured soil bacterium
Lineage: Bacteria
Description: bacterial SSU rRNA
Rfam family: Bacterial small subunit ribosomal RNA
Source: RNAcentral